UAUUCUUAAUCCAACAUCGAGGUCGCAAUCAAUUUUAUCAAUAAGAACUCUCCAAAAUUAUUACGCUGUUAUCCCUAAAGUAACUUAUUUUAUUAAUCAUUAGAAAUGGAUCAUUUAAAUCAUUAAUUAAUGAAAAUAUUAUUAAAAGUUUUAUAAAUUUUAAUAUCACCCCAAUAAAAUAAAUAUUUUAUUAAUAAAUAAUAACUAUAUAAUUAUAUUAAUAAAUCUAUUAUAAAGAUUUAUAGGGUCUUCUCGUCUUUUAAUUUAAUUUUAGCUUUUUAACUAAGAUAUAAAAUUCAAAUAUAAUUUUUAAAUGAAACAGCUUAUAUUUCGUCCAACCAUUCAUUCCAGCUUUCAAUUAAAAAACUAAUUAUUAUGCUACCUUUGCACAGUUAAUAUACUGCGGCCAUUUAAAUUAUCAAUGGGCAGGUUAAACUUUAAAAUAAUUCUCAAAAAGACAUGU
This 463-nucleotide ribosomal RNA is filed under the name Trichobius hirsutulus. Its description in RNAcentral is "partial 16S ribosomal RNA". Lineage: Eukaryota; Metazoa; Arthropoda; Insecta; Diptera; Streblidae. The record is from RNAcentral.